Molecule: ribosomal RNA, 476 nt
Filed under: uncultured organism
Description: partial 16S ribosomal RNA
Rfam family: Bacterial small subunit ribosomal RNA
Source: RNAcentral
CACUCCUGCGGGAGGCAGCAGUGGGGAAUUUUGGACAAUGGGCGAAAGCCUGAUCCAGCAAUGCCGCGUGAGUGAAGAAGGCCUUCGGGUUGUAAAGCUCUUUUGUCAGGGAAGAAACGGUGAGAGCUAAUAUCUCUUGCUAAUGACGGUACCUGAAGAAUAAGCACCGGCUAACUACGUGCCAGCAGCAGCGGUAAUACGUAGGGUGCAAGCGUUAAUCGGAAUUACUGGGCGUAAAGCGUGCGCAGGCGGUUUUGUAAGUCUGAUGUGAAAUCCCCGGGCUCAACCUGGGAAUUGCAUUGGAGACUGCAAGGCUAGAAUCUGGCAGAGGGGGGUAGAAUUCCACGUGUAGCAGUGAAAUGCGUAGAUAUGUGGAGGAACACCGAUGGCGAAGGCAGCCCCCUGGGUCAAGAUUGACGCUCAUGCACGAAAGCGUGGGGAGCAAACAGGAUUAGAUACCCUUGUAGUCCCAUGAU